Molecule: non-coding RNA, 297 nt
Organism: Pelobates cultripes (western spadefoot toad)
Lineage: Eukaryota; Metazoa; Chordata; Amphibia; Anura; Pelobatidae
Source: the annotation of a GenBank genome assembly
GGUUUCUAAUUUUGCAUCAAACUAGGAUAAAAUUCUUUCUUGACACCAGAAUGGCAGUCAGAUCUCUUAUUGAAUAAAGAAGCUAUUACCCCCACUAAUUAAAAAUUAUAUCCCUGAAUAUUAAAUAUUUGCAACGAUUUAUCUGUAUAGAAUCUGUUAAAACCACCUCUUCAGGCAGAAAAUUCCACAUCCUUACUGUUCUUACAGUAAAAAUCCCUUUCCUUUGCCUUAGACUAAAUCUCCUUUCUUCCAGUCUAAAUGCAUAAUGCAUGGCCUUGUGGCCUAUGUAUAGCCCUG